UUCGCAAUGCCCGAAAGGGUGACGAAGCGACGCCGCGUGAGCGAAGAAGGCCCUAGGGUUGUAAAGCUCUGUCAGGGGUUAAGAAAUGUAGGCAGGUUAAUACCCUGUUUAUUUGACAAAAGCCCCAAAGGAAGCCACGGCUAACUCUGUGCCAGCAGCCGCGGUAAUACAGAGGUGGCAAGCGUUGUUCGGUAUUAUUGGGCGUAAAGAGCACGUAGGUGGUUUUGUAAGUCAGAUGUGAAAGCCUUCUGUUCAAAGGAAGAACGGCAUCUGAUACUGCUGAUCUUGAGUAUAGGAGGGGAGAGUGGAACUUCUGGUGGAGCGGUGAAAUGCGUAGAUAUCAGAAGGAACGUCGGCGGCGAAAGCGACUCUCUGGCCUAUUACUGACACUGAGUGUGCGAAAGUUAGGGGAGCAAACGGGAUUAGAUACCCCGGUAGUCCUAACCGUAAACGAUGGGCACUAAGUAGAGGGGUUUU
RNAcentral lists this ribosomal RNA (477 nucleotides) under uncultured anaerobic ammonium-oxidizing bacterium. RNAcentral's name for it is "bacterial SSU rRNA". It matches the Rfam family "Bacterial small subunit ribosomal RNA", at positions 365 to 832 of the family's 1533-position model. The record is from RNAcentral.